CCUACGGGGGGCUGCAGUGGGGAAUAUUGGACAAUGGGGGGAACCCUGAUCCAGCCAUGCCGCGUGUAUGAAGAAGGCCCUCGGGUUGUAAAGCACUUUCAGUGAGGAAGAACGCCUGGUGGUUAAUACCCAUCAGGAAAGACAUCACUCACAGAAGAAGCACCGGCUAACUCCGUGCCAGCAGCCGCGGUAAUACGGAGGGUGCGAGCGUUAAUCGGAAUUACUGGGCGUAAAGCGCGCGUAGGUGGCUUGAUAAGCCGGUUGUGAAAGCCCCGGGCUCAACCUGGGAACGGCAUCCGGAACUGUCAAGCUAGAGUGCAGGAGAGGAAGGUAGAAUUUCCGGUGUAGCGGUGAAAUGCGUAGAGAUCGGGAGGAAUACCAGUGGCGAAGGCGGCCUUCUGGACUGACACUGACACUGAGGUGCGAAAGCGUGGGUAGCAAACAGGAUUAGAUACCCCUGUAGUC
RNAcentral lists this ribosomal RNA (465 nucleotides) under Vreelandella stevensii. Its description in RNAcentral is "partial 16S ribosomal RNA". It matches the Rfam family "Bacterial small subunit ribosomal RNA", at positions 338 to 795 of the family's 1533-position model. Lineage: Bacteria; Pseudomonadati; Pseudomonadota; Gammaproteobacteria; Oceanospirillales; Halomonadaceae. The record is from RNAcentral.